This is a long non-coding RNA of Gasterosteus aculeatus aculeatus (three-spined stickleback), 839 nucleotides long. NCBI's taxonomy places the organism in Eukaryota, Metazoa, Chordata, Actinopteri, Perciformes, Gasterosteidae. The record is from Ensembl.
AAAAAUUCGGCUCAGGCCGCCAAGGCCAGUCAAGUCGGAAAUGUUUAAACUCUUGAAUCCAAAUUUUUAAACAUCCCUUUCGAGCCCUCUUGUCUCGACGGUCCGAACGGUCCGGUCGACGGAGGGGUGCCCCAAAGUCGAUACCCCCCCCUGACUCAAGUGCAGAUGAUGCUCGGAGGGACCUGGAGCAAAUCACCAUGGCAAUAUUUGUUGUCUUUCGGAAAGAGGGGAAAGGACUGCAGGAGCCACCUGAAGACAUUAGCAUCGUCAUUGAGGGUGUGGAGGUGUUGCAUCAACUGUCAAAAGCUGUCCGUUUCAGCUUGUGCCCUGCUUCUGGGAUUGAUACUCAACCUCUCUUACCCAAAACCACUUCAUUUCACUUUUAAAGUGCUCCAGAAGAUAAUCAUGGAGCUUGAUCAGCAGAAGAUGUCCCCCAAGGUCCAUAAUCUGUAUGGCAGACUUCAAACACAAUAGUGUUUCGAUAUGGGGCAUUUCACUAUUCAGCCCCUUUGGAUGUUGGGCCUUUGUUAGCUCCAAGAUAAAAAUGUUAAGAUACAAUGUUGUUUUAUAUAUAUUAUCACUUGAUUGUAUACAAAUGCUUCUAUCAUACAUAUGAUUUUUGGGGAAAAAGUUCAAUUUCUGUCAGGUGUUCCCAAACAUUGUUACAUAUCAGAAGGCCAAAUGUGACUUGGCAUGGUUAUGCAUUUUGUGCAUAUUUAUGUUAAAAAAAACACUGGAAACAAAUACAAGCAAUACAUUUUGAAAGCCAUCAAAUUUGACUCUGUCAUUUUUCUUUUAGCCAACUUAAAAUUGGCCAAAAGUACAAUUUUACACCAAGG